Molecule: ribosomal RNA, 253 nt
Filed under: uncultured bacterium
Lineage: Bacteria
Description: partial 16S ribosomal RNA
Rfam family: Bacterial small subunit ribosomal RNA
Source: RNAcentral
GACAGAGGGUGCAAACGUUGUUCGGAAUUACUGGGCGUAAAGCGCGUGUAGGCGGCUCGGCAAGUCGGGUGUGAAAGCCCUGGGCUUAACCUAGGAAGUGCACUCGAAACUGCCAAGCUUGAGUUCUGGAGAGGAAGGCGGAAUUCUCGGUGUAGAGGUGAAAUUCGUAGAUAUCGAGAGGAACACCGGUGGCGAAGGCGGCCUUCUGGACAGCAACUGACGCUGAGGCGCGAAAGCUAGGGGAGCAAACGGG